AAUGAACGCUGGUGGCAGACCUAACACAUGCAAGUCGAACGAUUUAUAAAAACUUCGGUUUUUGUAAAGAGUGGCAAACGGGUGAGUAAUGCAUGGGAAUCUACCUAGAAGUUUGGGAUAACUAUUAGAAAUAGUAGCUAAUACCGGAUACACCCUGAGGGGGAAAGUUGACUUUUAGUCUUCGCUUUUAGAUGAGCCCAUGUUAAAUUAGUUAGUUGGUGGGAUAAUAGCCUACCAAGACGAUGAUUUAUAGCUGGUCUUAGAGGAUGAUCAGCCACACUGGAAUUGAGAUACGGUUCAGACUCCUACGGGAGGCAGCAGCUAAGAAUCUUCCGCAAUGGGCGCAAGCCUGACGGAGCGACGCCGCGUGCAUGAUGAAGGCAGAGAUGUUGUAAAGUGCUUUUAUGGGUAAGGAAUAAUGGAGGCAGGAAAUGGUCUCCAGAUGACGUGAACCCAUGAAUAAGCUCCGGCUAAUUACGUGCCAGCAGCCGC
Molecule: ribosomal RNA, 492 nt
Filed under: uncultured bacterium
Lineage: Bacteria
Description: bacterial SSU rRNA
Rfam family: Bacterial small subunit ribosomal RNA
Source: RNAcentral